Molecule: ribosomal RNA, 466 nt
Filed under: uncultured bacterium
Lineage: Bacteria
Description: partial 16S ribosomal RNA
Rfam family: Bacterial small subunit ribosomal RNA
Source: RNAcentral
GACGAACGCUGGCGGCGUGCUUAACACAUGCAAGUCGAACGGAAAGGCCCUGCUUUUGUGGGGUGCUCGAGUGGCGAACGGGUGAGUAACACGUGAGUAACCUGCCCUUGACUUUGGGAUAACUUCAGGAAACUGGGGCUAAUACCGGAUAGGAGCUCCUGCUGCAUGGUGGGGGUUGGAAAGUUUCGGCGGUUGGGGAUGGACUCGCGGCUUAUCAGCUUGUUGGUGGGGUAGUGGCUUACCAAGGCUUUGACGGGUAGCCGGCCUGAGGGUGACCGGCCACAUGGGGACUGAGAUACGGCCCAGACUCCUACGGGAGGCAGCAGUGGGGAAUAUUGCACAAUGGGCGGAAGCCGGAUGCAGCAACGCCGCGUGCGGGAUGACGGCCUUCGGGUUGUAAACCGCUUUCGCCUGUGACGAAGCGGGAGUGACGGUAAUGGGUAAAGAAGCACCGGCUAACUACGUG